AGCGGGAGAGAUACGGCCCACUGUGGGGACAUUCAUCUCCAGAAGAGCUGCUGUGACAGUAAUUGGACUGCAGGACUUUGAGUGUACAUCAUUUCUGCCGCUAUGGAGGAGCAUGUAGCAUUGUUACCCACAAUGACAGUGAUGAAGAGGGCAGCGGGAACCUCACCAGGACCGCCGUGGCCUUGAGAGGACCGCUCCGCUCUGCAGGUAAAUCCAGCUGAACGUGACGGCCGCUGUCCUUCUGAGGGCUCAGUCCUGCUGUGUACAAAUGAACAAAGGGUGAAACAUUUCAGGAUUUUUUGG
This 303-nucleotide long non-coding RNA is filed under the name Danio rerio (zebrafish). Its description in RNAcentral is "lncRNA (ENSDARG00000117797.1)". The record is from RNAcentral. Lineage: Eukaryota; Metazoa; Chordata; Actinopteri; Cypriniformes; Danionidae.